Molecule: ribosomal RNA, 301 nt
Filed under: uncultured bacterium
Lineage: Bacteria
Description: partial 16S ribosomal RNA
Rfam family: Bacterial small subunit ribosomal RNA
Source: RNAcentral
AGCCGCCACGGUAAUACGUAGGUGGCAAGCGUUGUCCGGAAUUAUUGGGCGUAAAGCGCGCGCAGGUGGUUUAAUAAGUCUGAUGUGAAAGCCCACGGCUCAACCGUGGAGGGUCAUUGGAAACUGUUAAACUUGAGUGCAGGAGAGAAAAGUGGAAUUCCUAGUGUAGCGGUGAAAUGCGUAGAGAUUAGGAGGAACACUAGUGGCGAAGGCGGCUUUUUGGCCUGUAACUGACACUGAGGCGCGAAAGCGUGGGGAGCAAACAGGAUUAGAUACCCGUGUAGUCCCUGUCUCUUAUACA